AUGGCGGCGGCGGCGACGGCUGGCCGGAGACCAGCCUCGUCAACAACGGCAUCGGAGGCGGAAGCGAAGGACGCCGAGAACCUCCGUCUCAUCGAGGAGAUGACCUCCAACGUGGACUCCGUGCAAGAGCGGGUUCUGGCCGAGAUCCUCUCCCGGAACGCCGCCACGGAGUACCUCACGGACUGCGGCGGCCCCACCGACCGUGCCACCUUUCGGGCCAAGGUGCCGGUGGUGUCGUACGACGCUCUCAAGCCGUACAUCCAGCGCAUCGCCAACGGAGACCGGUCGCCCAUCAUGUCGACGCACCCCGUCUCCGAUUUCCUCACCAGCUCCGGCACCUCCGGCGGCGAGCGCAAGCUGAUUCCCAGCACCGCCGAGGAGGGCCGCCGACGCCAGCUUCCCUUCGGUCUCCUUAAGGCAGUCAUGAACUUGCACUUCCCAGGGCUUGACAAGGGGAAGGGGCUCUACUUUCUCUUGGUCAAGUCGGAGACCAAGACGCUGGGCGGGCUGACGGCGUGGCCGAUGAUGACCAGCAUUUACAAGAGCGAGCAGUUCAAGGACCCCUUGCGCGACCACACCAGCCCGAGGGCGGCCGUGCUCUGCGCCGACACGUCCCAGAGCAUGUACGCGCAGAUGGUGUGCGGCCUGUGCCAACGCCACGACGUGCUCCGCGUCGGCGCCGCCUUCGCCUCCGGCCUGCUGCGCGUCAUCCGCUUCCUCCAGCUCAACUGGGAGCAGCUCGCCGCCGACAUCGAGGCCGGCACGCUCGCCCCGUGCGUGGACGACGCGUCGGUGCGCGAGGCGGUCGCCGGCAUCCUCCGCCGCCCGGACCCGGAGCUGGCUCAGUUCGUCCGGGGCGAGUGCUGCAAGGGCGAAUGGGCCGGCAUCGUCCCGCGCAUCUGGCCCAACACGAGGUACAUCGAUGCCAUCGUCACCGGCGCCAUGGCGCAGUACGUCCCGGCCCUGGAAUACUACGGCGGCCGCCUGCCGUUGGUGUCCUCCUCCUACGCGUCCUCCGAGUGCUACUUCGGCAUCAACCUUCAGCCGCUGUGCAAGCCGGACGACGUCUCCUACACCAUCAUGCCCAACAUGGCCUACUUCGAGUUCCUCCCCGUGGACGACGCCACCACAGGCGAGGUCGUGGCACCUGAAGGUGACGCGGCCCGGCUGGUGGACCUCGCCCGCGUGGAGGCAGGGCGGGAGUACGAGGUGGUGAUCACCACCUACGCCGGGCUGAACCGGUACCGCGUCGGCGACGUGCUCCGCGUGGCGGGUUACCACAGCGCCGCUCCACGGUUCACGUUCGUGCGCCGCAAGAACGUGUUGCUCUCCGUCGAAUCCGACAAGACCGACGAGGUCGAGCUGCAGCGCGCCGUGGAGCGGGCCUCGGAGCUGCUCCGACCGCACGGCGCGUCCGUGGCAGAGUACACCAGCCACGCAUGCACCAAGCGCAUCCCGGGGCACUACGUCAUCUACUGGGAGCUGCUGACCACCGGCGACGAGGCGGUGGGCAAGGAGACCCUCGACGCGUGCUGCCUGCAGAUGGAGGAGGCCCUGAACGCGGUCUACAGGCAGAGCCGGGUGGCCGAUGGGUCGGUCGGGCCGCUCGAAAUCCGAGUCGUCCGGCCCGGCACCUUCGAGGAGCUCAUGGACGACGCCAUCUCUCGCGGCGCGUCCAUCAGCCAGUACAAGGUGCCCCGCUGCGUCGCGCUCCCGCCCGUCGUUGAGCUGCUCGACUCGUGCGUCGUGUCCGCCCACUUCAGCCCUAGCUUGCCACACUGGACCCCAGCUCGGCGCCACGACUAG
This 1806-nucleotide ribosomal RNA is filed under the name Triticum aestivum (bread wheat). Its description in RNAcentral is "partial small subunit ribosomal RNA". Lineage: Eukaryota; Viridiplantae; Streptophyta; Magnoliopsida; Poales; Poaceae. The record is from RNAcentral.